This 71-nucleotide transfer RNA is filed under the name Ovis aries (sheep). It matches the Rfam family "tRNA". From Rfam's summary of the family: Transfer RNA (tRNA) molecules are approximately 80 nucleotides in length. Their secondary structure includes four short double-helical elements and three loops (D, anti-codon, and T loops). Further hydrogen bonds mediate the characteristic L-shaped molecular structure. tRNAs have two regions of fundamental functional importance: the anti-codon, which is responsible for specific mRNA codon recognition, and the 3' end, to which the tRNAs corresponding amino acid is attached (by aminoacyl-tRNA synthetases). tRNAs cope with the degeneracy of the genetic code in two manners: having more than one tRNA (with a specific anti-codon) for a particular amino acid; and 'wobble' base-pairing, i.e. permitting non-standard base-pairing at the 3rd anti-codon position. Lineage: Eukaryota; Metazoa; Chordata; Mammalia; Artiodactyla; Bovidae. The record is from Rfam by way of RNAcentral.
UCCCCAGUGGCUGAGCGGUAAAGAAUCUGCCUGCAGUGUAGGAGACCCAGGUUUGAUCCCUGGGUUGGGAA